RNAcentral lists this long non-coding RNA (298 nucleotides) under Mytilus galloprovincialis (Mediterranean mussel). Lineage: Eukaryota; Metazoa; Mollusca; Bivalvia; Mytilida; Mytilidae. The record is from RNAcentral.
GGCCGGACAAGCUUUGUUCAAAGCUAAGACUCUUUGAUUAGGAAUCAUUCUGCUAUUUCAUUAGUCAUUUCGUGAUCUUUUAUAACUGACUAUGCGUUGUGGGCUUUGCUCAUUGUUGACGGCCGUACGGUGAGCUAUACAUAGUGAUUCUGUGUAAUUUGGUCUCUUGUGGAGAUUUGUCUCAUUGGAAAUCUUUCCACAUCUUCUAUUUUUACUUAAAUAUUUAUAUGUCAAGGUUAAGCCAAACCCUAUAUACAGACAGGAGUAUCUUGGCAACACUUUGAAUACAUAACUGAAC